RNAcentral lists this long non-coding RNA (367 nucleotides) under Homo sapiens (human). Its description in RNAcentral is "non-protein coding lnc-LRP2BP-4:1". Lineage: Eukaryota; Metazoa; Chordata; Mammalia; Primates; Hominidae. The record is from RNAcentral.
GGUGAUUUCAGAAAGUAUGGAUAUACUCUUCAGAAUAAGAGGAGGCCUUGAUUUGGCUUUUCAGCUAGCUACUCCUAAUGAAAUUUUUCUCAAGAAGGCACUGAAACAUGUGUUGAGUGACCUGUCAACUAAGCUGUCUUCAAACGCCCUUGUGUUCAGAAUUUGCCACAGUUCAGUGUAUAUAUGGCCUAGCAGUGACAUAAACACCAUUCCUGGAGAACUGACUGAUGCUUCUGCUUGUAAGAACAUACUGCGCUUUAUUCAAUUUGAGCCAGAAGAAGAUAUAAAAAGAAAAUUCAUGAGAAAGAAGGACAAAAAGUUAUCAGACAUGCUGUAACGCCCAUCAUUGAAAGGGAAAGCGGAGGAC